RNA transcript from Haliotis rubra (blacklip abalone), 4458 nucleotides. It is a transcript of the gene named sushi, von Willebrand factor type A, EGF and pentraxin domain-containing protein 1-like, with no coding region annotated. Lineage: Eukaryota; Metazoa; Mollusca; Gastropoda; Lepetellida; Haliotidae. The record is from RefSeq and is a predicted model, not a curated record. The transcript is spliced from 23 exons.
AUGUGCACGCCGAUUCGUGUUCAAUGACGUUUCUGAAGAAAGAGGUAUUUUGCAAAGUGCCACCGGGGCUUCCCAAUGGUUUCCGUACUUGUUCUGAUGGCCACAGGUCUGGGAGUACAUGUCAUUACACAUGUUCUGACCGUUUCAUUCGUAAAGGAGGUAGCAGCGUAACCUGCAACGAAGAUGGCAAUUGGAAGGGCACACCUCCAACUUGUACUGCCAAACGAUGUGCCAAGUCCCUAAAUCCCGACAGGGGAGAAUUCAAAUACCCGGAUGGCACAGAUAUCGGUUCGUUAAGAUUUCUACAGUGCGCACGGGAGGGCUACACGCCAAACCCUCAAGGUCCCUCUGUAUGUAGUAUUAGCCAACGGUGGCUGCCGUCCCAUGCAAAGUGUGAAGAUACGAAAGCACCGCAGAUUAACAACUGCCCCAACGAGAUAAUCAUCAGAGCAUCAAGCGGUGAAAACGUGACGAAAGUGGAGUGGCCAGCGAUUACCGUAUCGGAUAAUUCAAAUGAGAAAAUCAAACUAACGAACAUGGCGAAAGCAAUGCCGGGCGAGGGUAUGUUUGAACUUGGAUCUACCUUGGUCAAAUUCACAGCCAAAGAUUCCAGCCAGAACCAAGCGGAACCAUGUGUUUUCAUCGUGGUUGUGCAAAGUGUUAUCUGCAGGAAUCCGUAUUUCAAAGUCAAAUACCUAACUUCGCGUUGUGAUGAAGGCAUGUCAGUUAGGAAAUCUUGUGUUCUGACUUGUGAACUGUCCCUCGAGCUGAUUGGCGAACAGUACAUCACGUGCACAUUGAAAGGAAAUACCAUGGAAGGCUAUUGGGCUUGGGAUAAUGGGACAGAUGUGGAUACAUACAAACCGUCUUGUCGUGUACACAACUGUACAUCCCUUCGUGCUCCAAACAAUGGCGGAAUGGUGUGUGACACUUGGGUAAAGGGCGCUCUGUGCCAGCUGCAGUGUGAGGAAGGGUAUGACAUUCCGUAUACUGCCACGUUCGAACGCAAGUAUAUUUGUGGCAUGGACUCGGGAGUCUGGUAUCCAGAUACCGUUCCUGACUGCAGUUGGCGUGAGCAUGGCGAAAAAUUGAGUAUGCCAGAGUACUAUUAUUUCCAGGGUCCAUGUGAAGAUGCUCAUGCUGAAAUAAAGGAUAACUUCCUGAAAGUAGUAUUCAGCGAUGGCCUCUGUCCUAACAUAGACCACUGUACAGUAGAGAACGUUAAGGUCAAAUGUGGAGACCAAAUUGAUGACGUAGAAUGGCUGAGGCUUCGCAAGCGUGAAGCCCGGUAUGGUCGAAGAAAGUAUAGAGGAAGGUACAGAAAGCGACCUAGUAGGAACAGAAAGCGACCUAGCUACAUCAUGUUUGAUGUAGUAGUACUAAAUGCCAACGUCCAUAACCGUGACUUUGCUGCAAACAUGAGAUCCUCGACGUUUAAACUUAAAACCAUUGCUAGACGAAUAGCUAAAACAGCCUUCCGAGCUGGUGGCAGACUGAUCCGGGCAACGAGAGCACGAGUGAGAGACGCAAUACCUAUCUGUGGACCUGGAUACAAGGUCGGAUACUUCCAUAAAGAUUCGUGUGCGCCAUGUCCAUCCGGGUCCUAUCACAAUUCCACGAGGGAUGAAUGCAUGGCGUGUGGGUACGGGCAGUAUCAGAGCCAGGAGGGACAGACCAGCUGUUCGAAAUGUCCUGAUGGCAACACCACGGUCACACUUGCUAAUGUAAACGUUUCGUCCUGUGAAGAAAUGUGUGAUCCCGGAACAUAUUCCAACAACGGCGUGGUUCCAUGUUUCAAAUGCCCAUUAAAGUCUUACCAACAUGAAGGUAACAAGAUGGAGUGUAUUCCAUGUCCGGUUGGUACAACCACAGAGGAGGAAGGUGCAAACUCAGCUAAACAAUGUGUUGCAUUCGACUUCUUGUUGCGAGGACCAAUUACAGUCCCCUUGGAAGGCAUGAAACCUUCUCGAAUUUGCGACUUCACGUUUUCUGUCUGGAUCAAGCUCGUAGACACAGAUUACGGUGGAAUCAAGUUCCAGGUGUACAGCCCUACUAUUGGGACGGCCUUAGAUAUUUAUGUUUCUUCCGACAUUCGAGUGAUCCUAAGAGAGAGGGAUGAAUUGCAUGUUGAGAACGCUGUGGAAAACAAGUGGCUUCAUGUGGCAGUUACAUGGUCUCACCCAACGCUCACGAUGUACGUCGGAGGGACAGCCAUUGCAGAAGAGGUAUUUCAAGAAGCCCAAGACUGUCCCUCCUCGACACCAUCUGUGAUGGAGAUUACAAUAAGAGGACAUGCUUACAUGUAUCUACGAGACCUUAACUUCCUGCCGUCAGCCAAUUCGGAGGUCGUGAGGAACAUGUCUACAACGUGUAGUUCGUACAGCCAAGACUCUCUCUUCUCCCUGGUGCAGAAGGACAUGGCUGCUUUAGACAAGGUGUUGGAAGUUGUACCCAGCACUUGCAUGAAACCCGAUGUCUGCAUCAGUCAACCAUGCGGAGACAACGUCUGUAUCCCUACCGGAAGUGCGUUCAGAUGCGUAUGCAGGGGAGGUUACUCUGGUGACAAAUGUGACGUGCCUCCUGAUUUGUGUAAAGAUAACAUAUGCAGCAACAAUUCCACGUGUCUAGUGACCUCAUACGGGUAUCGGUGUGAGUGUCAUCCGGGAUACAGAGGAAAUCUGUGCAGAGACAAGAUAGCUGAUGGCGGCUGGGGUGGAUGGAUGGACUGGGGACCAUGUUCAGUAAGCUGUGGUAAAGGCACGAGGACAAGGCACCGUUACUGUGACAGUCCUUUCCCCGACAUAGGUGGAAAGCCAUGUGAUGGCAAUGCACUAGAAACGACACCCUGCCAAAGGCAGAUGUGUCCAGAAUGUCUUGCACAAGACCUUAUCGUCGGAAAGGGUAUCAUAAAAACCUGCGAUAAAGAACACGGAUCGAUUACCUGCAACGUGGAAUGUGAAAUAGGUUUAGUGUUUCCAGAAAAGCCAUUUGUCUACACCUGCAAGGAGGGUACAUGGAGGCCAACAAAACGCACUGUGUCAUGUACAGAACCAGUCACCCCCAUUACAGUUGGAAUCAACUAUACUGUGGUGUUUGGGAACUCCGUCGACAGCCAUGUCAUCAGCACAGCACUGAGCAAAGUGGGAAGCAAUUUCAGUUGUGCUCAAGAUGAAACCUGUUCUACUGCCGUUGGUACCUCCAUCUGCAGCGACUACGUUAGACUCUGUAGGAAAUAUGGUGGAGUAUAUUAUGGCUCUCUAACGGUUCAGAGGACCAUACAACAAGACACAAUUGAUGUCUAUAAACUGCAAAAGAACAAACAAGUGAUGACGUACCUGUCCCCACUGUUCGCAACCUGGAAUGUGUUCACCUACUUCAGCGAUGAGGCAACAACGGUGGAUCACAGGGAGUUGGAAAUGUCUGUUUCUAACGACACUCUUAUGGUAUAUCCAUAUGAAAGACCAUCAAUGGCGGUUGAAGUUCCUGGACAGUUUGGCACCAUCAUGAAGACUUGGAAGCUCCUUGACAACUCCAACUGGGAGGUGAGGGGCAACGGUUACUCUGACUUCCAAAUUACUCUUGCGAAUCAGAGUCAAUCACAGGAACCGAAAAUCUUGGCAGCCUUUCAGACCAUGACCUGUCCUCGUGGAGCCGUUCAAGGAGGCGUUUUUUGUAUCAAGUGUCCACCAGGGAAAAGGCACGACAAUCACAACUGCAAACGUUGUCGUCACGGAUUCUACCAAGAUGUUCCGGGAAUGUCUGCUUGUGUACCUUGUCCUGGCUUCCAGACCACAGAGCUUCUGGGAAGUGCGGACAUCGCGCAGUGUAAAGAUACUGAUGUGUUAGACUUGACCCUCGUCCUCGGGAUGCGUGACACCAAAAUAGGCAUCCUUCGCCUUCACAAAAUGCAGUUUGAUAGGGUGACCUUGAACAGAACUGAUGGAUUUGUUGAUCUCCUCGCCUUUGACCCGACAGAUGAGUUUAUAUACUUCACUACUCAAGAGCCCACCACUAUAGGGAGAAUAACAAUGGGAGGUCUGAACGAAGAAACGCUAAUUAAAAGCCCACAAGACACCAUUAUAACUGGAUUAGACAUAGAUAUUGCCAGUGGUCUUUUGUUCUACACAACAUUUCACGGGGUGCUGGCUGCUCUUCACGUCAGCUCUCGUGCAGAGCACAUUCUCCUGUCCAAUCUAACCAAACCUCGAGGCCUUGUCCUUGACCAAAAAAUUCGGAGCCUACUGGGUCGAGAGCGACACCAUCUACUACCUCCACUACAGCAGUAAGAUGGCUAAAGCAGUUCUCGUGGACACCAACGCAGUGUGGAACCCGACCUUACACAAACAUGGAAAUAAGAUCACGUGGAACGCCUACACAAGACUCCGUGAAGCGUACAUCAAUGGCUCCAAUUUACAGACAAUUGCUUCAAACUUCACAUCCAGAUUCGGAUACACGGAA